This 52-nucleotide non-coding RNA is filed under the name Trypanosoma lewisi. The record is from RNAcentral. Lineage: Eukaryota; Euglenozoa; Kinetoplastea; Trypanosomatida; Trypanosomatidae.
AUGAUAUAACAAAAAUCAGAAAUAUCACGUGGAAAGUUGUGAGAUAAAUUUA